RNAcentral lists this long non-coding RNA (1418 nucleotides) under Equus caballus (horse). RNAcentral's name for it is "lncRNA (ENSECAG00000059950.1)". The record is from RNAcentral. Lineage: Eukaryota; Metazoa; Chordata; Mammalia; Perissodactyla; Equidae.
CUGGAAGGGCUUCGUGUUACACAGAGGAGGCUGGGGAGGAGAAGCGCUUUGCCUUCAUUCUCUGUUUAUUCAAGAACGUUGCCCGCUGCUGCCUAGGAGCUGUUCUGGGCACCAGCGCUGUAGCAGCGAGCGAAGCGGAGAAAACAUGGCUCGUGGCGUUUUCAUUCCCCUGCGGGAUAUGGACAAUCAAUAAAGAAAUAAAUCUAUCAGUCCAGAUGGUAAUAGAUAUUAUGAAGAAAGAGCAGGGACCACCACAGACCCAGAGGAGCACGGGCAGACCCCUUUAGACUCAAGGUGAAGAAGGGCUGCUCGAAGAAGCCGCGUCUGGAGAGCUGUGAAUGGGAAGUGUGUUCCAGGCAGAGGGGCAGCAUUUGCAAAGGCCCUGAGGUGGAAAUAAGCUGGGUGCCUAGAGGAACAGCAAGGUGGCUGGAGAGGCAGCACGGACAGUGCCUGCGCUGGGUCCCGGGUGGUGCUCUGUGGCCCCUGCUGGGGUCAGAGGAGAAUUUGGAGGUUCUGGAGAAGCUUCCAGCCGGCUGCUCUGUUGUUCUCUGAAUGCAGACGGUGGUGGAGCCCUGUCUUGGCCCGCAGCCGUUAGGAUAUUUCUCAGGGAAAGCCCUUGGACCAAGAAGUCUGUUUUUUCGUUGGAAACUAUGAGACUCUCUGCAAAAACAAAGGAAUUUGGAUUCUGUUCAGGAAAAAUGUAACCUACAAACAAAUAGCCUUGGAAAAUCUGUGCCUCCCCCUCGGUGCCUGGGUCAGGCACAGGGACAGCCCCACCCCCGAGCUGCUUUCGAGCUGGAGGCCACCUCCUUUUUCCUCUUCUGUGUGUUGUCUCUGGCUGCCCAGAGGGCAGUGCCUCCUCUCCAUGCCUUCCCCUGCCCUGCCGCCCAGGGCCCCUGUCUCUGCAGUGCCCUUGAUCUGGUUGGAAUGCUCUUCCCUUCCCUCGCUGCAACCCUUCCUCAUUCUUUAAGACCCAGUUCCAAUGUCUCCCCUCCGGUUCUGAGUUCCCCAGCAUCCUCUCAGGAUGAAUUCAAGAAAGGAAGAGUGGAACAUUUAGCAUGUCUCCGUUGGUCUCCUGGGACCGCCGUAACACAUCACCACGCAUUCCUGCUGGCUUGGAGCAAUAGGAAUUUCUUCUGUCACAGUUCUGGAGCCUAGAAGUCCAAAACCAAGUUGUGAGCAGGGCCAUGCUCCCUCUGAAGGCUCUCGGGGAGAGUCCUCGCUGUCUCUCCCAGCCUCUGGAGGUGGCCGUAGUCCUUAGUGUCCUCGACUUGCAGCUCUAGCAUCUAACUUCUGCCCCCAUCUUCCCAGGGUUUUCUCCCUCUGUGUCUUGACUUUGUCUCCAUCUGCGCAUAUGUCUCCUCUGUUUUCCCUUCUUGUGAGGAGUUAGUUUUCCAAAUCUACAAUUUUCCUUUCAG